RNAcentral lists this ribosomal RNA (278 nucleotides) under uncultured Bacteroidales bacterium. Its description in RNAcentral is "partial 16S ribosomal RNA". It matches the Rfam family "Bacterial small subunit ribosomal RNA", at positions 511 to 788 of the family's 1533-position model. Lineage: Bacteria; Pseudomonadati; Bacteroidota; Bacteroidia; Bacteroidales. The record is from RNAcentral.
GCCGCCGCGGUAAUACGUAGGUGGCAAGCGUUGUCCGGAUUUACUGGGUGUAAAGGGCGCGUAGGCGGGUCUGCAAGUCAGAUGUGAAAUCCAUGGGCUCAACCCAUGAACUGCAUUUGAAACUGUAGAUCUUGAGUGUCGGAGAGGCAAGCGGAAUUCCUAGUGUAGCGGUGAAAUGCGUAGAUAUUAGGAGGAACACCAGUGGCGAAGGCGGCUUGCUGGACGAUAACUGACGCUGAGGCGCGAAAGCGUGGGGAGCAAACAGGAUUAGAUACCCC